UCAAUUUCGUCGACGAGAACGAGUACGCUGAACGGUCGUUCCCCAGAGAGCCGGCAUCCUGCUGCAAGCCGGCGUUCGAACUUCAGCCGAACAUCCUCUCCGAGAAGCGGAGCCGAACAGCCCGGAGCCUUGUGCGCUUCGUGCCGAGUAAGCCCCGCCGGCAGUCCCACGUUAUAGGGAACGCGGAUGGCAGAUAUGCAUCCGCUGCUGAGAUGCCUAUGCUGAGGCGAAGCACGGUCCAAUCAGGGACCUGUUUCCACGGCGACAGGGCGAUUAGGGUGGUAUCGCGAGUCAUGCUCGCCCCUUUA
This 308-nucleotide non-coding RNA is filed under the name Paenibacillus sp. P22. The record is from RNAcentral. Lineage: Bacteria; Bacillati; Bacillota; Bacilli; Caryophanales; Paenibacillaceae.